RNAcentral lists this non-coding RNA (31 nucleotides) under Rattus norvegicus (Norway rat). The record is from RNAcentral. Lineage: Eukaryota; Metazoa; Chordata; Mammalia; Rodentia; Muridae.
UGAACUAUGCACGGACUCAUUUGAAAAGCGU